GAACGCUAGCUACAGGCUUAACACAUGCAAGUCGAGGGGAAACGACAUUGAAAGCUUGCUUUCGAUGGGCGUCGACCGGCGCACGGGUGAGUAACGCGUAUCCAACCUGCCCAUCACUUGGGGAUAACCUUGCGAAAGUAAGACUAAUACCCAAUGACGUCUCUAGAAGACAUCUGAAAGAGAUUAAAGAUUUAUCGGUGAUGGAUGGGGAUGCGUCUGAUUAGCUUGUUGGCGGGGUAACGGCCCACCAAGGCUACGAUCAGUAGGGGUUCUGAGAGGAAGGUCCCCCACAUUGGAACUGAGACACGGUCCAAACUCCUACGGGAGGCAGCAGUGAGGAAUAUUGGUCAAUGGACGAGAGUUUGAACCAGCCAAGUAGCGUGCAGGAUGACGGCCCUAUGGGUUGUAAACUGCUUUUAUAAGGGAAUAAAGUGAGCCUCGUGAGGCUUUUUGCAUGUACCUUAUGAAUAAGGACCGGCUAAUUCCGUGCCAGCAGCCGCGGUAAUACGGAAGGUCCGGGCGUUAUCCGGAUUUAUUGGGUUUAAAGGGAGCGUAGGCCGGAGAUUAAGCGUGUUGUGAAAUGUAGAUGCUCAACAUCUGCACUGCAGCGCGAACUGGUUUCCUUGAGUACGCACAAAGUGGGCGGAAUUCGUGGUGUAGCGGUGAAAUGCUUAGAUAUCACGAAGAACUCCGAUUGCGAGGGCAGCUCACUGGAGCGCAACUGACGCUGAAGCUCGAAAGUGCGGGUAUCGAACAGGAUUAGAUACCCUGGUAGUCCGCACGGUAAACGAUGGAUGCCCGCUGUUGGUCUGAAUAGGUCAGCGGC
This 826-nucleotide ribosomal RNA is filed under the name uncultured bacterium. Its description in RNAcentral is "bacterial SSU rRNA". It matches the Rfam family "Bacterial small subunit ribosomal RNA", at positions 31 to 847 of the family's 1533-position model. The record is from RNAcentral.